Molecule: ribosomal RNA, 254 nt
Filed under: uncultured bacterium
Lineage: Bacteria
Description: partial 16S ribosomal RNA
Rfam family: Bacterial small subunit ribosomal RNA
Source: RNAcentral
UACGUAGGGUGCGAGCGUUGUCCGGAAUUACUGGGCGUAAAGCGUGCGCAGGCGGCUUUGCAAGACAGAUGUGAAAUCCCCGGGCUCAACCUGGGAACUGCAUUUGUGACUGCAAGGCUAGAGUACGGCAGAGGGGGAUGGAAUUCCGCGUGUAGCAGUGAAAUGCGUAGAUAUGCGGAGGAACACCAAUGGCGAAGGCAAUCCCCUGGGCCUGGUACUGACGCUCAUGCACGAAAGCGUGGGGAGCAAACAGG